RNAcentral lists this long non-coding RNA (9971 nucleotides) under Citrus maxima (pomelo). Its description in RNAcentral is "long non-coding RNA (CMAX_LNC001706)". The record is from RNAcentral. Lineage: Eukaryota; Viridiplantae; Streptophyta; Magnoliopsida; Sapindales; Rutaceae.
UUGCAACAGAAUUUGACAUAAAGGACCUUGGAUCCCUAAGAUACUUUCUAGGCAUGGAAGUGGCAAGAAAUAACACAGGCAUAUCUGUUUCUCAAAGGAAAUAUGUUAUAGACCUUUUGAAAGAAACAUGAAUGAUAGGUUGUAAGCCUGUAGACACACCAAUGGAUGCAAAUUUGAAAUUAGGAGACUUGAAGGACAGUACUCCUGCUGAGAGAGGGAGAUAUCAGCGACUUGUUGGGAAACUCAUCUAUCUUUCCCACACUAGACCUGAUAUUGCUUUUGCGGUUAGUGUUGUAAGUCAAUUCAUGCAUGCUCCAUGCGAGGAACAUAUGGAAGCUGUUUAUCGAAUCCUGAGAUAUCUUAAAGGAACUCCAGGAAAAGGUCUUCUCUUCAAAAAGAAUGAGGCAAGAAGUGUUGAAGCCUUCACAGACGCUGAUUGGGCUGGUUCAAUUAAGGAUAGAAGAUCUACGUCGGGCUAUUGCACAUUUGUAUGGGGGAAUUUAGUAACUUGGAGAAGUAAAAACAAUCAGUUGUGGCAAGAAGUAGUGCUGAAGCAGAGUUCAGAGCAGUAGCUCAAGGUAUCUGUGAGUUGUUAUGGCUGAAACUAUUAUUAGGGGAGCUAAAAAUCGCAGAUAUUCAACCUAUGAAACUUUAUUGUGACAAUAAGGCAGCCAUAAAUAUUUCUCAUAAUCCAGUACAUCAUGAUAGAACAAAGCAUGUUGAGGUUGACCGGCAUUUCAUCAAGGAGAAGAUAGAAGAAGGAGUAAUUUCUAUGACAUAUGUGCCUACAUCUCAACAAACUGCAGAUCUUCUUACUAAAGGAUUAGUCAAACCAGUGUUUGAAAAGUUGGUAGACAAGCUGGGAAUGUUCAAUGUUUUUUGUCCAGCUUGAGGGGGAGUGUGGCAGAAUUUGAAAAAAUAGAGUUAUCCUUAUCUGGUGGUUGUUUUACAUGAUAUGUUCUAUCUACUUAUUUUUUGUUUUUAUCCCUAGAAUAAAGGACUUUGCUAAGAUAAGACUUCUAGUCUAUGUUAGCUUCAAGCCUAUAUAUAAUCUUGUAGUUUGAUUAAUAAAGGUAAUAUGAAAGUGCAGUGUUUACUGUUUCCUUCCUAUAUUUUGUUACAGAUAUCUUCCUUUCCUAAAGACAGAAUCAUUCAGGACAUAUGCCAUGCUUGGCUGCAAUUUGAACGGGAAUUUUGUAAUAAAAUUUUUAAUGAAUUUAUGGGUUUGAUGAGUAAAAUUAGGGGUUCAUAUAGACUCACCCAUAAAUUGAACCCUUAUUAUGUUGAUGCACAACUUAAUUUAACAAAAAUAAUGUUCAAAUUGUCACAAAAUUUGAAAAAAAAAAUCAUACAGUUAAUUUUUCUUCUACUUUACUCCAUUAUUCAAUGGGCAUAUAAUAAAUUAGGAGAGGGGAGAAAUAAAGGGGAAAAUUAGAGUGAUUGUCGCAAUGAUACACUGAUACAAAUGCUUAUGUAUGUGUAGUGUGUGUGUGGGGCGUUCUUUAAUUUGAUAAAAAAUAAAUGCAGUUAUUUGUAGUUUUAAUCAAAAUCGAGGGAUAUAAACAAAAUUUUUACCACUCCAGAGUCCAGACAUGUAUCAUUAUCUGGUUAAAAAAAAAUUGCAUAAAAUUAAAAAACCACUAGUAGCUGAAAGAGAGAAACAAAUUAAGAAAGGGUUCAGAAGAUGGAACCCGAAGAGAAAACCCUAGCAACAAUCCCAGAAGAAGAAGAAGAUGGAGACACGGCCAUGCCCGACGUCAAGAACAACCCUAAACCAACAACAAAAGCCAACUCUUCGGACUCGAGCGAUGCCUCUGACUCGGACUCGGGAAGAUGAAGCAAAACAGAACAUGGAGCUUCAAACCCUAGAGUAUCAGCUAUCCAAUGAACCCUCCAAUUACGACACCUAUGCUCAAGUAACUUCAAUACACAUAUUUAUUGAGUGAUUUUGUGGAUAACCGUUUGCUUGUUCUUUCUUGGGUUGCGAUAAAAAUGGUUUUUAUCUUAUUUUUAUUUUUCAGUAAAUAAAGGUUUUGAGAAAAAUGGGUGAGAUAGAGAAAUUGAGACAAGCUAGGGAAGCCAUGAAUGAGAUUUUUCCAUUGACUCCUGCUAUGUGACAAGAAUGGGCGAGAGAUGAAGCCUCUAUUUCAACUGGGUAUCUGUCAUUUCCUAUUGCAAUGGUUUUUGAUUUUGUGAGCAAAUGUUUUUUUCGCUUAGAGAUAUAGAUGUUUAUGUUAGUUAUUUGCUAAUGUAAGAAGGAACAAAACCUGCUUAAAAGGUAUUAAAGAAAGAAAAAAGGAACCAAUUUGAAGAAGGGGAUACUUGUAGUGGGAGUUCUACUUUGGGGUUUAAUUGAUGGAAAGAAGAAAUAGCUUAUAUGUUUACAGAAUUAGACAUUUGAUCGCUCAGUUAGUUGAGGAAGAUGGUUAAUCACAAUGUCUGAUGUUGUUUCUAUUGGCCUGAGCUAGUUGUUAAGAUUUCAUACUUUCAUUCAACAAUGCAAUAGACUUUGAUUGGGUCCACCGUAGUUGGGUGUUCUAAGGAAUCAAUGAGUGUCUUGAGAAAACUUGGGUGGAGUGCUGGUCAUUUUCAGGAUUCCGUUUCCAAGAAAACAAAAAUGAAGUUGUAGUCUUUUCCUACAGUUUCUUGACAAUCAAACAGCUCAGGAUUAAGUGUUUACUUUUGGUGUAAUUAUUCACUCUAACUCGAAUAAUACUUAGGUUUAGUGCUAACAAAAUAGGAAGUGAAUUAAUAUCUGAAGCUGACUUAGGAGUGGAAUGAAUGUUACCAAAAAUAUACUAUAUGGUAGAUAGAAUUUGCCUUUUAGGUAAGACAAAAAUAAUUACAGCUGUUAAUUUAUUUCAAUAAGUUCGUACAUCAUUCAAUAAUAAGUCCAAGAUUUUAAUGGUUUUGUUUCCUGAAAAUUUGUCACAAGUGCAUGAACAAAGUUCUAUGGAUGAACUUCUCUUAGUUAAUUUGAGUUCAAUGUCGCAGUUCCUCAUAUUAACUAUAUAAAACACUAAUCUUGCUCUUUACUUUGGAGCAUUUUAAUAAAAUUGAUGCUAAUUCCUUAGCCAUUUUAUUCAUCUUGUGCAUAAAUUAUGCAAUCAAUAAGCCAACUCAACUUUCAUCUUUAUUUAGUGAAAAAUUUGCAAGGCCACUAGGAGGUUUUUGUAUGUCUCAUGCUAACAUGGACGCCAUGGUUUCACUAUGUAAAUUUUCCCUACUGAAAUUCAUGAUCCCUCAAAUACCACUCAUCACUCAUGAAGCUGUUUCUGGGACUUUAAAAGCGCCAAAUUUUAGUUUUAUCCUUUCUAGCUUAUUAACCUGUCCGCAUCUGCAUUAUUAUCUUUUCUGUCAUAGGAAAGUUUAAUUUAUCAUCUUCCCAACAUAAACAUCCGUAGGUCAUUGUUGACUUUUUUUUCCUUUAGAUUCAUGUCAGAUUAUGGUUGCUGGAUUUUCUGCUUUGACACUUAUUGUUUCUAAGUAUAGGCUACCAAGGGAGAAAAAAAUUGACAUUGAUGGUCAUCCCCAGCAUGUUUAUCCCAGGAGACUGGUCAUUCAAUUUCUAUGAAGGACUAUAUAGACAUCCAGACUCUAUUUUGAAGGACAAAGCUGUGGCUGAGCUUGGUUGUGGAAAUGGAUGGAUAACCAUUGCCAUAGCUGAGAAGUGGUUGCCUUUGAAGUUUUGUUGGUUUGUCGUCCUUAUGCCAUGUGAGAGCUUUUAUUUCCUUCCCUACCAGUGCCUUCAGGGGCUCCAUCAUGAUUUCUCUCAUCAUUUUCUAUCUGUGUUUUGCAAGGCCAUUUGAUAUUUAUAACAGCGUUGGCACCAGGUUAUGGUGAUUUAAUGCACUCCUAUUAGGAAAAAUUACAUAAUUAUCAACUCUGUCCUUGUCCAAAAGUCUUUGUUGGAGUAUGUUGAAAGUAUAACCUUGUAGCAGUUCUUUUAUGCUGUCUGAAUAUCCUAUUGCAGUUCUAUGGCCUUGAUAUUAAUCCCAGAGCAAUAAAGAUCUCUUGGAUAAAAUUGUACUUAAAUGCAUUAGAUGAAUCUUUUUCUAAGCUUUUCUGUCACUGUCACUGCAAAAGGUCUUUUGUAUUGAGGGUUAUCUGUGGGGCUAGGAAAGAAGGUCAGCCCAUCUAUGAUGCGGUGAAGAAAACCUUACCGGAUAGGGUGGAGUUUGAUGAAUCUGAUCUCCUAGCGUAUUGUAGACAUCAUGACAUUCAACUUGAAUGAAUAGUGGGGUGCAGACCUCAGGUACUCUCACUUUCUGCAACUCAUGAUAUUUCUAGGGGAUUAAUUUUUGGUGAAGUUUGUUUACCCAACAUCAAGUUGGAAUUUUAGUGUGCCCACAUGGAUUACUUUUAACUCCUAGUUUAACUUAUUCUGUUUUCUCCAUGCAGGUUCUCAACCCCAAUUCCAAUGCAAUGUCGAAAAUAAUUACUGAAAAUGCAAGCGAGGAAUUUCUGUAUUCAUUGAGUAACUAUUGUGGACUGCAGGUUGGAAGAUAUUCUAAAUAAUUUAAUUGUGAUGCGCAAUUGCAAAUUGCCGGGAAGUUAGCAAUUAAGUUGACAGGCUUCUUCUGGUUUCACAUAUUUCCAAGCAUACUUGUUAUAACUUUGGUUUGAAGCUUGCAUACCUUAGGUAAGGUUGAUGUCUUUAGUUGGUCAAUAUCAAUUGGGAAAUAUAGCUAACCAGUGAAGACAGUGGGAAAAGGAUGAUGUGACCUCUUCACAAUGCCAUUGAUUCCCAUAGUUCAUGUUGCUAGGUGAACUUAACAACCAUCUCUUAUGCAUAUCUAAUUUUAUUGUGAUUGGUGUAAUGAUCUGAAAGAUUUCUUUUUUUUUUCCUUGGUUUUAUUUAUUUAUUUCCUCGUGUGACCUCUUCACAAUGCCAUUGAUUCCCAUAGUUCAUGUUGCUAGGUGAACUUAACAACCAUCUAUUAUGCCUUGUGGAUAACUGAGAAAAUUUAUUGCUUUUGACAAAUUGCUUUUUGAAAUAGAGUGCAAGUAGAUUGACCAAUAAUUAGAGAAACUUAGGAAGCAAAAAUGGGGGCAAAGCCGAUGGUUUCAAUACAUUGAGAAGAGAGACAAAGCUCUUAGAUGAAGCCAUGGAAUUGCGGAUGAAGACUGCACAAAUAACUAAUUGAUGAACUUCACAAAUAAGUAAUUGAUGAACUUCACAAAUAAGUAAUUGAUGAAACAUCAUGAUCUUCAAUUUAAAUUUAAAUGCAUUUGUUCUAUUAAUCAUGAAGCAUCUUUUAUUUAUGUUUCAAUAAUUUAAGUAUGUCGCAAUUCUACUGAAUGAUCAAUUCGAGACUUGAACUUCAAGUGUUUUCUUUUUUCCCUCCCCAUUUCCCUGUAUGGAGGGUUUCGUGGACGAUCAGUUUGGCUUAGGUCUAAAUGCUGGAGCAGUUAAGGAAUUACUGUUAUCAAAAUAAAGUUUCCUCUCACUCACUAGCCAGUUGAGCAGCUCGUCACCAGUCGGAUUCAUUGCCGAUUGCAGCCCAUAUCCAUUGCUCAUCACUGUUUGGAUUCGUCAGUUCUGUCAUGUCAGUUCAGUAGAUUGUCGCCGCAGUCAUGAUCGGCCUCUUUGUUGUCGUCGAAGAACCAAUCAAUAAUGAUGAAGAUGAUGUUUUAUGACAAUAAUGAUGAUGAUUGAUGAUGAUGAUGAUGAUUACCAUUGUUGAUGAUUAAUAUUAUCGAUGAUGAUGAUGUAGAUGAUGUAAUUGCGGUGAGAUGAUGAAGAUGAAACUGAAUUGUGAUGUUGAUAAUGAAAUUGACAGAAGGAAGAAGAAGAUAAUUGUGGUGAUGAUGAUGAUGUUGAUGGAGAAGAUGAAAUUGACAUGAUUGAUGAUGAAGUAACGAAGAAUUUGUAAAACAGAGAGAGGGAGAGAGAAAAAGGAGAAGAGGAUAAAAAAGAAAGAAUGAAAAAAACAGGAGAGAAAAUAACAAUAAAAACAAAAGAGGAAAAUAAUUAUUAUUGUUAUUAUUAUUAUUAACAAUAACUUUCUUAAUAACCAUAAUCAUAUAAUAGAUAAUAAAAAUAGUGGUAAUAAUGAACUAAGGGUAUUUUAAUAAUUUAUUGUAAUUUUAAAGUAAAUACAUUAAUGAUAAUAUAAUUUAUUUUAAUUUUGAUUCUUAUAGUUGAAGUAAAUAAUUUAUUUUAAUUUUUUAUUUCACAUUUCAAUUUUAGUCCAUUCCGAAUUAGUAAACGCAUCAUAAAAUCGUGUGAUUCUACUCCUUUAUAUGUGAGAUUGAUUUUUUUUCUUUAAGGCCUACGACAUCCCAAUACGUCUAUAUAUGACCAAGCUACUAAGUGGACGGCCAUUAAAAAGGCAUAAAAUUGAAUGGCCGUCUAAUUAAUUCCCCAUGACAUACAGCAAAAAUUUAAGAAGGAACUCCGAUACCAUCAAUUAUGCAUUUUAAUUUGAAGUUGGAAAAUAGUGAAAACAGAAGGUUCGGAUGAUUUAAUUUUAUACGUAUUUAAUCAAGUAAAAAUGGCACCUGCGUUGUAAUUUGCACAGUUAUCUUACUUUGAAUAAUAACAAAGUUCAAAUUUUGUAUUCAGUGAAAAUCAAAUCUAAAGUGAAAAACAGUAGCUAGAAAAAAAUCUAUGUUCUGAUGUCUUAGUUUAUAAGCUCAAACAAUGAAUAGUAUAGAUACAGCGCAUGAUAGAACACAAAACUCAUGUAGAUUUUUAGUUUCGAAAUUCAUUUCAGAAAAUCUGUUCUGUUCAACAGGUUAAAGUAGAUUAUCAACUAAACUCUACCCACAUACUUGCGUACAAUUAGAGCACUAUGUCAACAAAGGAGCACAUCUUUCGGAAGAUAAUUGAAGACUUGUUUGGCAAUUUGAAGAUUACAUCUUUGCUCUGCCAUUGGAAGUAAGCAACUCAGCUGCCCAAAGACCGCCGUGCCAUCAAGACAAUACCAAGAUACAACAUCAGUAAUAAUAACAUCAAGAAUUACAAAGAGGCCGUCACACGUUACACCCACCCCCAAUAAGAAACUAAUUAAUACCGUCUUAGCUCCUCUGUUUUAAAAGAAAUUUACGCACCCAUGCAGUAGGAAUAAUUAAUUAAUUGUAACUGUUUCUAAAAGUUGAUGAGCCCAAAUAUCCAAUAACUGAUAAAUUGUGUUAAGAAAUAGAAAUAUUAAUAGUACUGAUACAGACGCAUGGAAGUCCCCCCUCUUGAGUUUAUGCUUGUUCUUGUCUGCUUGACAAACAAGACAGAGGUGGACUAAGCAUCAUUGGAUAACUUGGGGGAAAAAUAGUGUCCAGCAAAAAGAAUCCAUCGUUAUGUGCUGCUUCCCAUUUAAUUACAUUUAUCUAACAUUUAAAAGAUGGAAGUAGAAAUUAAAACUCUGUUUUUCAGAUAUGGCUCAUAUACAAUGCAAGUAUCAAGAUUUAAUUAGAGUUCAAUAUACAUGCGUCUAGUUUUUUAUUGAGAGAUAAACUAAUCAUAAAUACUCAGGUGUUUCGAAAUGAUUGAAUAAUGAUAUUAUUGUUAUUUAUAAAUUUAUAAGGAUAAAUAACUGAUAGUCCAUCAUAAAUACCGAAAAGGGUCCCCAGCAUAACUUGAACAACUUUAGUUUGGUUUAGUUUGUGAAAAGUAAUUGAAAGCAACGUAAUUGAAGGAAAUACAAACUUUUGAUUUUGACAAAGUAGUCGUUAAAAUGCUAAAAAUACUGGGACAAUAGAAAAAUAAUGAAGAUCCUAAAAGUUGGUGGAGCAAAUAAACAGAGUAAAACGGAGCAAAUAUUUACCAUUAUACAUAUAUUUUUAUUUUUUUCAAAAAUGAAAGUUGCGAUUUUUUUUUUAGACAAAAGAGACAAAAAAGAAGCACAGUCUGCUAUUACUAGUGUGGCAUGUUAUCUAUUAUAUAAGCACGUGUCUAAUUAUUGUUACCGCCUGCAGUUGUGCUUUCUUUUAUUUAUUUUCCUUUUGUUAUUGAAGUUGUCUUGCAAACUGCUCCAAGCUGAUUACAAAAUUUCCUCUUCCUCUAGGAUCUUUUGAAUGGUCCUGCAAUUUGUAUUCCUUUCUGUGGGAUUGGUUUUUUUUUUUCUUUUAACAGAAUUUUAGGGAUAAGAAACCUUACCCAUUGAAUACCAACUUUGAAUUUUAAUAUUAUUCAAACUUAGAAAACUGCAGAAACAAAGUGCCUUCAUAGCACCAGUUAAACUGUGUCUAGCUACCAUGCUAAUUCCAUUUUUACUUUAUUAAAUAUAUACAGAAUUAAAUCACCUAAGCCUCUAGUUUCACUAGUUUCCAACUUGAAAUUAAAACGUAGAAUUGAUGGUAAUGGAGUUGCCUAUUUAAUUUUGCUGUAGGUCAUGGGCAAUUAGACGGCCAUCCAUUUUUAUGUCUAUUUUAUGCACUAUUGGCCACUAAGUAGCUUGGACAUUUUAUAAGUAGCUUGAAAUAAGUCAAAAUCAAUUACAAGAACAACAAUAAAAGCAUAUUUUAUAAAGGCCACAAAUACAUAAUACAAAUUUAGUUUUGAAUUAUGUAAUUAUUAAUUCAUAUAUUAAGAGAGUCUUAUAGAAAAAAUAGGAGUUUUUUGAAAGAGAUUUGCUAAAGUAAAAAAUUUCGUUUGGUUUAGUUUGUGAUGGCUCAAGUAAUUGAAAGCAAUGCAAGUGAAGGAUACAUGAACUUCUGAUUUUUACAAAGUAAUUGUUAAAAUAUUUGACAAGCUUGAGAUUUUAAAAAGGCUGGGAAAAUAGAAAAACAAUGAAGACCCUACGAGUUGGCAGAGCAGAUAAAUAGAGGAAAACAUGACAAAUAUUCCAAAAAAGAAAUUCGCAUUUUUUUUUUCGAAAAUACGCACAGUCUGCUAUUACUACUACUAUAGAAUGUUAGCUGCUAUAUAUAAGCACCUGUCUAAUUACCAAAUAGAUUCCACUUUGACAAAGAAUAAAAGCUAAUUUCAUUGAUGGCACAUGUUGUGCUAAUUACAAAAUUUUCUCUUACUCCAGGAUCUUUGCAAUGGUCCUGCAGUUUGUAUUCCUUUCUCUGAGAUUGUUUUUUUUUUUUUUCUUUAAAUAAAAUUUUAGGGAUGAGAAACCUUAUCCAUUGAAUAUCAACUUUGAAUUUUAUUAAUAUUCAAACUUAGAAAAAUACAGGAACAAAGUGCAUUAAUAGGAGGUUAAACUAUGUCUGGCUAAAAUGCAAGUUUCAUUUUCACUUAAUUAAAUAUACAAAAUUAAAUCGCAUGAGCCUCUCGUUUUAUUAUACUUCAACUUAAAAUUAAAACGCAGAAUUGACGGUAUUCGAAUUCCUUAUUUAAUUUUGCUGUACUCAUGGGGAAUCAUGGCCUUCCAUUUUUUUUUUUUUACGUCUAUUUUAUGGCCAUCCCCACUAAGUAGCUCGGUCACACACAACAUGCACAUACAUAUAUAUAUUGUGUGUGGGUAUUGGGAUGGCACAGGCCCUAAAAGAUAAAGCUGAACAUCAAUUCCAAAUCUAAAGUGAAAAACAGUAGCUAGAACAGAAUCUUUGUUUUGAUGUCUUUGUUUAUAAGCUCAAACAAUUCAUAGUAUACAGAAAAUGCAUGAUAGAACACAGAACUCAUAUUUUAGCAAUAAUCCUCAGCUCACCGACCUUUAGUUCAGAAUGGCAGUUCUUAUUAGUCAAACAAUCAAAUUAACUUUUAGUUGUAUAUAAGUAGCGCACCAAAUCAACAAAUAAUUGAAGACUUGCUUGGCUAUUGAACCAUACGAUGGCAAUUCGUCAACUAUAACUUAGCUCUGGCAUUCGAAGUAAGCAACUUAGCAUCCCAAAGACUGCCAGGCCAUCAACACAAUACUACCAAGAUACAAGAUCAAUAAUAAUAACAUCAAGAAUUACACUGAUGCUCUCGAAAUAAGGUAUACGAAAUUUUAAUUGUGUAUGCACAAACUAACUUUAUCACUUCUUUCAUAUUAAUACUCAUAAAUUUCAACCUUAUUUUAUGUUGAUGCACAAUCUAACUU